This is a long non-coding RNA of Trifolium pratense (red clover), 1832 nucleotides long. RefSeq lists it as uncharacterized. The record is from RefSeq and is a predicted model, not a curated record. The transcript has 5 exons. Lineage: Eukaryota; Viridiplantae; Streptophyta; Magnoliopsida; Fabales; Fabaceae.
AACGUAAAAAAAAUAUAUGCAUAGAACAAAUCACUCACGAACAAAUCAUCACUAUCCAACAAAAACCCUAAAAUCACUCUGUCAUCUUUCACGAACAAAUCGUGCAUCAUCGAGCGCCAUGGCCACCGUCUGAGCUUUCUUCCUUUGAUUCUGAGCUUUCUUCCGUCGAGAUUUUGAGCUCUCUUCUCUCUGCGAUUUGAACGUUCAUUCGUCACUUCUUUAUGCUUCAAUAAGUCACUUCUCCCUGUGAUUUUGUAAGAUUUGAGUUCAUAUCUGCGAUUUUGAAAGCUUUGAGUUCAUAUCUGAGCUUCUCUCUGCGAUUUUGUGAAAGUUGAAGCACUUGUAAUUCAAGGACCAAAACUUGCCAAUGUGAUGAGCCAAGUUAAGAAAUUGGAGGUCUCUAUCUUGGUACUAGGCCAAAAGAAGCCAUCUUCUUUCUUUACCUGGGAUCAAAAAAGUGUUGACUUCAAAAAAAUUGAUGCUCAUGUUCACCUGUUUAAGGAUAGCAGUGCAAAGGUAUACUAUUUUAUUGAACCAAUCCUAAAAUAUAAGGACCUAUUGUAUCCGCUUGUAGUCCCUGGUCAAACUAGCAUCCUCUAUCUCCCUGUAUCUAUCCUGGUUAAACUAGAUAAAGACCUACUGUAUCUCCUUGUAGUCUCUCAUAAAACCACUUUAACUAGCAUUUUGGAUAAACUGUUUAACAUAUAAAUGCUGGAUGUUUUACAUAUGUCGUAAAGGAGAAAAUGAUUUUUCAUUUGUGUGGUAGCUCAUUUCUGUCAAUUGCCACAGUUUGGGUCUAAUUUUCGGACAGAGUGGAAGCGGAAAAACAACUCUCUUGCAGGUCUUACAUCUUUUUACUCUUGUAAAUCUGCUUUAUUGAACAUUCAUGUUAUAUACAGAGCCGUUGCAGGAAUAAUGAAACCAACAUUUGGAUCCAUUCACAUUAAAAAAAUUGGGGAUGAUGGGAAUUCUAGUCAAUCUCCAAAGCCGUUGGUGCCGGAAAGGGUUGGUAUUGUCUUCCAGUAACAUAAACUUGGAUUCUUUUGUGCUUGUAGAUGGUAGAGAAGCCCUCUGGAUUUCAUCAAGCUGGCUAGACACACUUAUGCAUCAGUUCAAAGGAAGCAGCUCAAGAUAUAUACGCAGAACUUCCCAAAAAUUUCAAAUGCCUGAUGGAAUGUGAAGCUGCAGUUAUGUUACAAGUAAUUCAAGUUCAUAUGGCUAUGUUAUCCAGAGAUCCAGCUAUCAAAAUCCCACUUCUCUUCAAGCCUUGCAAGGUACUCGUGUUUAAUUAACAUUGCAGGACUCUCGUGAAAUAAUAGGAACUACAACUCUAGAGGCAUUUGAAGUGUAGAGUUGGUUUAUGCAGUCUGUUGGUUGCAGAAGGGUGAACUAUGGGUGAACAGUGUUGUCGAUUCAAAUCUUCUGGUUCUUCUCCACUCAGAUUCAUAUAUUCUGGCGACAUGAGUGGGCAUGGUUUUAUGACCUUGCAAUGGACAGAGGUUGAAAACAAUUUACGUCAUGUGCUCAGUAUUAAGGAAAAGGCCAAUUUGGAGAAGUCGGACUUGGUACCAGAUUUGAAAACUCUGAUGGAUAAACCAAGACUGUGGUUGAGUAAAUAGCCGUGAAGCUGUGUGAAUCAACAGCAGCAAGUCUUCAGGGCAAAAAGUUGGCUUCAUUUACAAAGAUUAUUGUGUAUUUUCUUUUCAUGAAAAACAACUGAUGUGUAUUUUUUUUGGUACUAUUGUGUAGUUGAUGGAAUAUAGUAAUAACAAAAGAUUAUGUAAUUCCUUUUCUCUGUUUUGAUAUGAUUUAUGUCAUGAUACUUAUAGCAC